This 253-nucleotide ribosomal RNA is filed under the name uncultured bacterium. Its description in RNAcentral is "partial 16S ribosomal RNA". It matches the Rfam family "Bacterial small subunit ribosomal RNA", at positions 524 to 776 of the family's 1533-position model. The record is from RNAcentral.
UACGUAGGCAGCGAGCGUUGUUCGGAGUUACUGGGCGUAAAGGGUGCGUAGGCGGUUGUUUAAGUUUGGUGUGAAAUCUCCCGGCUCAACUGGGAGGGUGCGCCGAAUACUGAAUAACUAGAGUGCGGGAGAGGAGAGUGGAAUUCCUGGUGUAGCGGUGAAAUGCGUAGAUAUCAGGAGGAACACCGGUGGUGUAGACGGCUUUCUGGACCGUAACUGACGCUGAGACACGAAAGCGUGGGUAGCAAACAGG